UUAAAUUGAAGAGUUUGAUCAUGGCUCAGAUUGAACGCUGGCGGCAGGCCUAACACAUGCAAGUCGAACGGUAACAGGAAGCAGCUUGCUGCUUUGCUGACGAGUGGCGGACGGGUGAGUAAUGUCUGGGAAACUGCCUGAUGGAGGGGGAUAACUACUGGAAACGGUAGCUAAUACCGC
RNAcentral lists this ribosomal RNA (180 nucleotides) under Escherichia coli. RNAcentral describes it as "partial 16S ribosomal RNA". It matches the Rfam family "Bacterial small subunit ribosomal RNA", at positions 1 to 172 of the family's 1533-position model. Lineage: Bacteria; Pseudomonadati; Pseudomonadota; Gammaproteobacteria; Enterobacterales; Enterobacteriaceae. The record is from RNAcentral.